This 75-nucleotide transfer RNA is filed under the name Cordylochernes scorpioides. Its description in RNAcentral is "tRNA-Thr". It matches the Rfam family "tRNA". Rfam says of the family: Transfer RNA (tRNA) molecules are approximately 80 nucleotides in length. Their secondary structure includes four short double-helical elements and three loops (D, anti-codon, and T loops). Further hydrogen bonds mediate the characteristic L-shaped molecular structure. tRNAs have two regions of fundamental functional importance: the anti-codon, which is responsible for specific mRNA codon recognition, and the 3' end, to which the tRNAs corresponding amino acid is attached (by aminoacyl-tRNA synthetases). tRNAs cope with the degeneracy of the genetic code in two manners: having more than one tRNA (with a specific anti-codon) for a particular amino acid; and 'wobble' base-pairing, i.e. permitting non-standard base-pairing at the 3rd anti-codon position. The record is from RNAcentral. Lineage: Eukaryota; Metazoa; Arthropoda; Arachnida; Pseudoscorpiones; Chernetidae.
GUUCUGGGUAGCCUAGAGGACAUGACAUCUGCCCGGUAAGCGGAACACGGUGGGUUCGAUUCCCAUCCCUGGACA